CCACCAAAGACAAAAGGCAAGCAGGAGAAAGCAGCACGACACCCCCAAAGUCCAGAGGAGAAUCACUCACCCGUCCCAGCCAUGGUUCCUGGAGGAAGGCAAGCCUUCCGCUGAGAUUAUUUUCAUUUUAUACCCCGGCUUAAAAAAAAAAAAAAAAGAGGUAACACGGCGGUGGUGGCUCAAAAAAAAAAAAAAAUCAACUCUGCCAAUCAGUUCACCCCGGAAGAGGGCAAAGUGUGGUAUGUCAUAAGAAGGGGAAGAAGCAAUUGCAUGUACACUCAGUUCCCCUGUAUGUAUUUUUUUUUUUUUUUUUUUUUUUACUCCCGGCUGUUGCCACCUCUUUGGUCAUGAGCCAUCAAUUUACGGGACAUUAUUGUGAGUUGUGAUCGUUGUGAUCAUCAGAACAGACAAAAGGUGACCGCACCCUUCUCUGUGAUGAACAGAGAGCUUCCUACUGGGAAAACAUCUGGCUUGGUUUUUUUUCCCCUAUACUGCAGCCCUCUUAAACUAUACGUAGAUAUUAUCAUUCAUCUCUCGCCGCAUGGAGACCCGCAAGGCUGUUUUCUUGACACCUGCUGGCGCCUAUGAUGGCAGCCCACAACACGAGGCAUCUGCUAAAUGAAGCAACCGCUUCUUGAGUGAUCUGAGAGCAACGUGGCGAAACCAGCACUUCCCCGUGUUCCCAGGACUGACAGAUUUUCGAGGGUGGUUUGUUUUGAUAAGGCAGAGCUUAGCGCAUGUCCUAGCAAGUCGCUUUAUGAUGGGCCUCAAAUAACAGGUUUUAUUGUCUGGGGAUAAGCAGCUCGCUAUUAAUUGCACAAGGAGUUCCUCCCAUGUUCCUGCUUCCCGGAGGAUUACUGGAAAUCCAGCUUCCACCUGAAACUUGAGGCUUGGGGAGGGACAGACAGAAGAAGGACAACCCAGGAUAGGAUGGGGAUAAAAAGGGUCCAUUACUUGGGCCCGGGUGUCACUGGGUUUCUUCCUUCUCAUUACAGCAACCUCUUUGUCGUGAGACAUUGAGUAAGAAUUCAGGGGAAUGGUACAAAAUGGAGAACUUUGCUUAAAAAAAAUGAAAUUUCAA
RNAcentral lists this long non-coding RNA (1081 nucleotides) under Anas platyrhynchos platyrhynchos (common mallard). RNAcentral describes it as "lncRNA (ENSAPLG00000030072.1)". The record is from RNAcentral. Lineage: Eukaryota; Metazoa; Chordata; Aves; Anseriformes; Anatidae.